This 253-nucleotide ribosomal RNA is filed under the name uncultured bacterium. Its description in RNAcentral is "partial 16S ribosomal RNA". It matches the Rfam family "Bacterial small subunit ribosomal RNA", at positions 524 to 776 of the family's 1533-position model. The record is from RNAcentral.
UACGAAGGGGGCUAGCAUUGUUCGGAUUUACUGGGCGUAAAGCGCACGUAGGCGGAUUGUUAAGUCUGAUGUGAAAGCCCACGGCUCAACCGUGGAGGGUCAUUGGAAACUGGGGAACUGGAGUGCAGGAGAGGGGAGUGGAAUUCCUGGUGUAGCGGUGAAAUGCGUAGAUAUCAGGAGGAACACCAGUGGCGAAGGCGGCUCUCUGGCCUGUAACUGACGCUGAGGCGCGAAAGCGUGGGGAGCGAACAGG